RNAcentral lists this long non-coding RNA (260 nucleotides) under Vombatus ursinus (common wombat). RNAcentral's name for it is "lncRNA (ENSVURG00010013559.1)". Lineage: Eukaryota; Metazoa; Chordata; Mammalia; Diprotodontia; Vombatidae. The record is from RNAcentral.
CCCAAAGAGACAUCAAUGGAAAGUCUGAGAAGGCAGCAGCACAGAAGUUUCAAACCCACUUGAGGACAGCAUCAAAACAUGUAAACAAAGACCUGGGAAACAUGGAGGAAAACAAAAAAUUAGAAGAAAACAAUCACAAAACAGAAGCUUAAGAGAAAUAUUUUUCCCCCAAUUGCUGUUACAGAGAAAAAAAAACAUAUAGACCAAUUGAAGCAUGAACGUGGAUUGUAUUUAAGACAUAUACAAAGACAUUGACAGCU